Molecule: long non-coding RNA, 8205 nt
Organism: Dreissena polymorpha
Lineage: Eukaryota; Metazoa; Mollusca; Bivalvia; Myida; Dreissenidae
Exons: 2
Source: RefSeq, a predicted model, not a curated record
AUACACCCCUCUCCACCCCACCCCUCCAUCUUUUUUUAUUUAAGUAUUGACAUAGGUCCCUUCACCUUAAAAAAGAAAAAUAGAUGAGCGGUCUGCACCCGCAAGGCGGUGCUCUUGUUACUUGAGCUGUAAUACAGCCAAGAGAAGAUCAGCUACAUGUAGCACUUAAGAGUCUAUCAUUCUUUUAUGUUUUGUAAUUGGCUCUAUUAAGGGACUUUUGGCCUGAGGUUCUAUAGUACAGCCUGCUUCAGACCAAACCAGGUCAAUAGACUGGGCCAUCGAUGAAGCAUCAACGUCUGUCUCUGACAACGGUAUGCUCGGCAGGAGCAGCAUUUAAUGUAUGUACCUGUGAGUAGGAUUGAUGUGAAUCUGUGUGUUAAACCACACCAUUGAAGAAAGCUGCAUUCAACAGGUUUUUUAUGCCUUCAGUAGGGUGGCAUAUGGCAGUUGAACUGUCCGUCAGUCCGUCUGUCUGUCUGUCAGUCUGUUCAUCCGUCCGAAAACUUUAACAUUUUCCAUUACUUUUGCAAUAUUGAAGAUAAUUGAUAUUUGGCAUGCAUGUGUAUCUCAUGGAGCUGCACAUUUUGAGUGGGGAAAGGUCUAUGUCAAGGUCAUCCUUCAAUGUCAAAGGUAAUUUUUUUUUUUUAAUAUUUCAAAAUUUCAAAGCGGCGCAUAAUACUUAAAAUUUAGACUCGCAAGGGUGACUCAUGAUUUGCGAAAAUGUAAUUCGUUGUUAUCAGGUUCUCAAACACAGGAGUAUUCAGACAACUAGAACCAAUCCAUACUCGUCAAUGCCUCGCCUUGUGAAGGUGAGGGUCAAGGAUCUUUGUCAUGCAGAAGAUCUUCACCAGCUUCUAAAUUGUGCUGCCAGUAGGAAAUAUUUGUAUAAGUCACAUGUUAAAAGUCAAUGGUCUUAGACACUUUGUCAUGUGUAUUUUCAAUAGUAAAGCAAUUUAUUUUCAAAUAUAAUAUUCCAUCUGAGAACAGGGAUGUAAGAAUUUUAAAUAACCUACUUGCAACCCGUGUUUUUUUGCAGAAUGUUAAAUGUACCCAGUGGCUGCACAUGACGCACUGGCCCCACAUGCGGAGUUUCAAAUAUGGCGAGCUGGGCAAGUUUGGUGGAGACAUCUUCCUGCAGACACAAAACACGUUAUCUUUCGGAUUGAAUUCAAUCACUGGAUACAAUGCGUUUUUUUCUAUGCUAUUGAACUUUUUGGGAGAUUCUUGAGUUUGAUCCCACCUAUGCUUUCUGUACAAAAUAAUGAGAAUGAAGCAUAUAGAGGAAAAUGCUAGUCUUGCUGUGAUGACACAACUUCUGCAUUUAUACCCAUGUUAUUUUAUGUUUAACAAUUAAAUAAAAUUAAAUGAGUUCAGUGGUCAAUUAGUUAAGCAAACUUUCCACUCCACACGGUUGCAUUCCCAUCCCUCUAAAUCCAUAAAAAGGGAAGACUUGCAUGUAACUACCUUUAAACAAACAAUGUUGACAAAUCAAUUUUACCGGUAAUUGUCUUCAAACUAAUUCUGGCAACAGCUGUUUCUUGACUUUGUUUCAAUCCAACAAGAUUAUCAUAGACUCAUAUGGCCAGUGACAAGGUAUUUUAGCCCAUUUCAGUUGUAAGAGGUAUUCAGCUAUCUGCCUGUCAAUUCUUUGUUGUUGUUGUGUUUUUUUGUCUGGAGUUUAACUGUUAAAACACUUGUAGAAAAGUAUGACUCAAUACUGAAUACAUGUACACCAUGCUAUUCACCCAUUCUGUCGACUCUGUUCGUUUUGCAAUUAUAUUGCAUCGCUACAGAUGGUCUAACUGCUCUUUCAAUUCACCCCUGUAAAGCUACUGGAACUGAAUGAGGUGCAUGUACCACAGGUGUCACUGUCUCAUUGAUCUUGAUGUCAUACUCCCCUGGCAAACCACAGGUGUCACUGUCUCAUUGAUCUUGAUGUCAUACUCCCCUGGCAAACAAACAGUUUCAUCGGCUAGAACAUCACUGAAUUUUUAUAUCAGUUGCUCUAUUCCCAUCUUUGCACUGUUUACUCUCAUGAUGAGGCCUUAGUUUCACAGAGUCAUCUCUGCCCAACAGAUAAAAGUUUCUUUUUCCAUCAAUUUCUUGAAAUGUUAAAUUGUGCUGGACAAUUUUUGAACGCAUGCAUUUGGCAACACUUGGCAAAAUGACAUGAUACUGUUUGAAAUGUUUUGUCUUGCAACACAUUUGCCAUAUUUAUUUGAUGUGCCACAUGUACUUCUGGGUGCAAAGGCUUAAUGUGAGCAUUUGUGAGUUCAAUGUGAAGACACGUUGAAUCACCCUUUCCAAUGUUUAUUGGUUUGCUGGAAUUUUCCAAGAGCUUUUCCGAACACUUUUUGUCGUCUAACACAUUAAUUAUCAUGUCACAUACGAAACCAUCCUUUUGCUCUCCAUAUUGGCAGUACCCAGCUUUUGGAUAAUUUCAGAUAAUUGAACUCUUGUAGUUUUCACUAAUUUCAGUCGCUUCAUGUUUCUGAAUUUGUGAACACCCAAAAUGAUGAUCACAUUUUGCUAGCACAGAGUCCAAAACAUAUCUAUCUUCUGCAGGCCUGUGUGCAAUACCCCUGUCUUCAUCUGCCAACACUUCUGGCAACCAUACAAAGAAUAAUAAAUUUUGACAUAUUCACGACCCAUGUUGGAUAAUAUUACUCCCAACUUUUCGACGUCCUGGUUUGUCUUGCAGAUCUAAUGCGCCCUGGUGAACUAGAAAAUUACGUUUGUAUAUCUCCCCACUCUGUUUCCGGCGAAUUUCUUAUUCCUUUUGCAGCCAUACUGUCCCCAGUUGCCUAAACUUCAUCAAUAAAUGUCUAGCACCUAUUGUUAUCUGUAUUCCAGCUAUAUAUUCACAACCAUUCUGACACCCAGAGACUACUACGCUUUGCCUUAAAAUAGGGAGAAGUGACUUCUCCUUUUUUCUGAAACGGAGAAGUUUGGAAAAUCAGGGAUAAGUUUGUGCGAACAAUAUUGAUUUUAAGUUUUUCAAAAACAAAACAUGUACAUUCCACAACUUGUAUUAUUUCUAUCAUUAUAUUUUUAAUUGUAAAAACAUUAAAUUCUCAUUACAAUCUACUUAAUUAUACAUAUAAUAAAUUAUUACAUUUAAGUCAUUUAACACAUUUAAGUAAAGAUAUGUACCGGCAGCACCUUUUCAUCAUAUACUGUAAACAUAUAGAAAUUCGUCGGUAUGAAAUUUCGUGGUUAAAUGAAAAACAACUAAUUCGUUGACACGUAAUUUCGUGGAUUUCAAAUAAAAAACAACUAAUUUGUUGAGACGUAAUUUUGUGGAUUUCAAAUUUUCGGGGAAGACUGACCUGUCAUAAUAAUAAAACUUUUAUUAAAACAAGCAGAGUAAUAACGAAGCAUUAUAUGCUUAUCUGUGUUGACAGCAAUACUUGAGGUUAAUGUGCACUGAAGCAUGAAAGUGUUGCCGAUAAUUGUCGAUAAGAGCGAUAAAGCGGCGCACUUGUGGGCCCCUGCUCGCUAAUUUCCAUCAAUGUUGUUUUGACAAUAUUUUCAAUUCUCAUCGCAAUCGGUCCCAUAAUAAUAACACUUAAUAAAUUGAGUAAUAAGGUCCCAAAAAUACAUGUGUGAAAAGCGUUAUGUCUCUUUUAACUUUAAUUGGCAUUAAUUGACAAAUGUGAUAAAUCUGCAAACUGUUAAUUUGAUAUUUGAUAUUUUAUAUAAACACUCUACUUGUUAUUUAUACUUAGUAAUCAUGAACAUCGUAGUUCUUAUCAUACUAAGUAAUCAUAAACAUCUUAGUUCAAACAUAUAUUAUUUACGUCAAAUGGGUGGAAAAUAACCCAAACAUUUUAAAUUCGGAAGUAUUUUAAUUAGUCAACAUAAAGUGUAAUGUGACCUACUGAAGUAUUUUUUUAACUUUUACAAAAAGCAAAUAUCUCGCAUAACAGACAACAAAAGAAAAUGUCGGAAAUGACAUUCGGAAAUUACAGAUUUCAGAUUUAAAAAAGUAUAAAUAAUCGUUGGUACUUGAAUUCGUGGUUAAGCGGACCAACGAAAUCAACGAAAAUUCGUACCACACGAAAUUUAAUGGUUUUACAGUAUUUAUCAUCAUUAUAUUAUCAUCAUCCCUAUCACUGCUUUUGUAACAAAACACAAUCUUAAUGCAUGGAACAUCAAGUUUAUCUCAAUUACAUCACACAAUUAUAUUAUAAUCAUCCCUAUGACUGCUUUUGUAACAAAACACAAUCGUAAUGCAUAGAACAUCUAAUAUAUCUCAAUUACGUCACACAAUUAUAAGAGUUCAUCUUAAUAUCAAAUAUAUCAUUCACAUAAUACAGAUAAUAAUAGUCUUAUUAUACCCAACAGUGUCACAAUACAUUUACUGCCAAUAUCAAAAUGAUUUUAUAUUGUCAAUACACAACAAAAUGUCAUGCAACUCAAUGUUGUAUCUUUUUCUGUCUCCAGAUUGCAAUAGCUCUGGCAAAGUUAAAGUCUUUGGGGCUAGGACCUUGCUCGGAUAUUUCUGUUAAGGGUUGAUUUGAAAGCAAUUUGGAUUUUAUUCGGUUCUGUGUAGAGAACCCACGUUAACAAGCAACACUGCUUACUGGUAUUACACAGCAAAUCUAAAGACAAAGACAUAUUUUUGGCAACAUGCUUUCAUGCUCUGACAACAUUUUCAAGGCUACCUUAUGCAAAUCCAUAUCUUUACAGAACAGAACAGUUUAUUUAGUAAAUCAAGGCCUCCGGCCCAUAAUGCAUAGCACAAUCAAAAAUAACAUAAUACAAUUUCAAAGUUGUGCCCAUGAUACAUAACACAAUAACAUCAAAUAAUACCACUAUUAGCACGUGGUUGGAUAGUUCUACGACUUGUGAUACGGUCGAUUUAAGGUUAUUCAACUGCGACAUAACAUCUUCGAUUUUAUAGUUUAUUUAAGACAUAUUAUAAACAACCUGCUUAUGUUGCUCAUUGAUAUUGUUGCUCAUAUUUCUAAUCAACUCACGGAUGUCCAAGUGGUUUUCCUCAGAGCUUGGCAUCAAGUUGGGUUUGGGUGGCGAUCGUCAUCUACCUGUGCUCGCGGUAAGUUUUGUGACUGGCUUUGCGUGGAAGGUGAAUUAACAAUGUUAGUAUAUGAAGAUAUACGCCGUUGUCUUGUACCCGCACCAUCAUAAAAUUAUGUUGUACUAUGGCGCUGUGUAGUAUCCACUUCCAGCUGCCCACGGGUACUAGUGCGUCCGAUGCGCCCUCAGGGGUUCUGGCAUGGCUGGGGCUCCCUGACUGAUAGAUGAAACCCGUUUCUAGUCUGUAGAAGUUUUGGGCGGUCCAGGGUUCAAUUCAACAUGACCACAUAUGAGUCAAAUGGCGGCCAAACACAUGGCUAGACGAAAACAUGUCGGUAUUUUACAUUCCAUAUUUCCAGGCACAAUUAAAACAUUAAUCCCUGUGUAUGCUUUAUGUGGUUGACUGAAACAACCUAUCCUACACCUCCACAAAACUAUACAAACCCCCAUAGUCUUUAAAUUUAUAAGCAUUAAAUUAACACAACCAUCAUAUCCAAGGGACAUUACUCAUAUAUUUACAACUACCAAUGACAAGUCUUUUGUAUAUUACAUUCUCUGAUCUAAGAUUGUCACAAUCAAUGCUAAAAUGUUUACCAAGUUUCAGGAUGUUUUCCUUACCAAAGGAUGCUAGGCAGGAUUCAUUCUUUUUUAUCACAUUAGGGUCAAUGGCAGAAAGCAUCUCAUUAAACCUGCUUCUGAGAUUAUGAGCAACUUUGUUAAUGUAUUCUUCACUGAUUCUUUGCAACACAUUUUUCUCAACAUCAGCAUAUUUCAAUCUUACACAAUGAAUGAUUUCACUUUCACCAUAUUUAUGAGAUAGGAACCAAGAGUCUAUUUUUAGGCAAACUCUGAAGUUUUCCAACCAGUCCAUCAUACCACCAUUAUUCACUUCCGAAUAACACCACAGAACAAUAAUGAUUGUUUUGAUAUAUAGUAACACCAGCCAAAUAAUAUUUAUUUUUCUGUAAUUGUAAUUUGGGUGUUGUCAGGACUUCCUCUAGUUUGAUUCGUUCCAACAAUGCGUGUUCGUUUACGCGGACAACAGCAAUUGGUGAAUAAGUUGUUAUGGUUCUCAGAAUUGUGCGUUUUCCAGUGCAUAAAAAAAAUACCAACACAUAAGUAAGACAUGUAACAUAAUACUUAACAAGCUGAUCAUUCAGUUAACUAUCAAUCAGAGUUACAUUUAUUGAAAGUAUUUAUAUAGUGGCUCAAAGCCACUAAAACCAUCAAUGUUCUCUGAUAUAUUGUCUUUCACAACAGCAGCUUUGCUGUCUGAAACAGGGCGCUUGUUCUCACUUUUACCAUCUUCAUUUUUUAUAAAUUCUGACAACUUAUCUGUGUAGACACCUUCAGCUUCCAGGAGAUCCUCUAGAGAGUCACAUGUGGCAGAGACAGCUGGUCUGAUCUUACUAAAGUCUACUACAUUUGUUUGAAAGGUCUUACAGAGUCGGCCAAUUAAGGGUAUGAUGUCCAUCAACAUAUGUAUGAAACCUAUGAAAUUGUACUGCACAACUUGCUUUAACAAACCUUUUGCGACAUUGUUACUGAUAGCUUCAUGUUUAAGAGCCGUCACUAAAGCAGGGUAACUGCGGUACAGAACUUGCAUGAGACAACCAUCAAACUGAAUGAAUGUUAACAAAUUUCAGUGUUGGUUACUGCAAGAGGGACUGGAUUUCAGCUAACCUGUUUGAUCUCAAGGCAGAGUUGGAAACGGAGUAGAAGAUGUUUGAUACUGUCCUAUUAAAGGAGGCGAGUUCAGGGAUUGAAUUGGAAGCCUGAGAGGCAGCAAGAGCACAGCGAUGUGCAGCACAAUGUACACCAAUCAGGGGAGGGGCUGAGUCUCUGAGUCGUUUCACUACACCAUUUUUGCUACCUGUCUUAACUGAUGCUCCGUCAGUUUCCAUUCCAACCAUAUUACUAAUGUCAAUCUUUUUUCUUUGCAGACAGUCUGUAAUUUUCUCUACAAUGGUUUCAGCAUGUUCUCUAGCAGCACGCACUUGACACCGUCCUGGUCUAGAUAUUGUAUGUACGCCAGUAACUGUUUCUUGUUACCUAUGUCGGUGCUUUUAUCUAUUAUUAAACCGUCAGUGUCACCAUGUAAUAACUCAGAACUCGUUGGUGGGUAACUCCAAUAUAUGAUUGUAUUCUGCUAAUUCGAACUAUGAGGGAACAUAUAAUUUGUUUUGCACCAUCAGUAAGAAUAAUCUGAAAAAGUAAAACUGUUGCUUAAAUGCAUUUAAAAUAUCCUUCACUGCAGCUAAAAUUUAUUAAAAAUAUAUUACUGUAACACUGCAUUGUUCAGAAAAUUUGGUGCUAUUAAAUAUAUAUAUAAUUAUGUAUACCAAGUUUUAAGUUAAACAUCUUGAAUACACCUUAGCUAUCUCAAGCUUAUGCUUAUGUACAAAAUAAAACUUAAACCAAACUAUCGAGUUUGGCAGACUGUUUAUACAUUGGUACAGGUUUUCCAAGAAGUAGUUUCUUAUGAUUCUAGCAAAAUUGUUAAAAGAAAUAUGACACAUUUUUGCUUAUGAUAAGUUUUCUACCAAGAUCACGCAAUUUAUAUUUAUAUAUUAACUUAAGGGCAUUUUGUUUCUUCUUGUUUGGUUAAAAAUAUGUUCAUACUUUAUAUAUUGAUGUCAUUGUAAUUGCUUAUUUAUCACAUGCUAAACCCUGUUUCCCAUGUAAUACAACCAUUACAUAUUUUUUUAUAUUACACAUGUGUAAUACAACAUUUUUAAGCGUUUUCAUUGGCUUAGUUUUCGUUUAUUGACUAAUCGCAGUUUUGUUAUUUUGCUGCAAUGCGUCAAAUGACGUCACGAAAUGUAAACAACAUUCGUGAUUUAUCAUUAUGUUUGCUUAAUAUUUAUUUAAUUUGCUCAUUUAAAAGCAUGUGAUAAAAAAGAUCUGACACUCGUUGUCAUAUCAUACCAUAUUUUUAUUAAACUCGUCUAGGAAAUUCGUUAGUAAGCUCGCCAAAGGCUCGCUUACUAACAAAAUUCCUGAACUCGUUUAAUAAAAUAUGGUAUGAUAUGACAACUCAUGCCAGAUCCCUAUAUGUACAUGCCUAUCUUACCUUACCUUCUAAAGUGUUAAAUAUGUUUAUUUUUGCAUUUAACUUUAAACUUGGUAAAGUUUAUGUUUCUGAAUAAAUGAUUUAUCUUGAAA